UAAUGGCUCACCAAGGCGACGACGGGUAGCCGGCCUGAGAGGGCGACCGGCCACACUGGGACUGAGACACGGCCCAGACUCCUACGGGAGGCAGCAGUGGGGAAUAUUGCACAAUGGGCGAAAGCCUGAUGCAGCGACGCCGCGUGAGGGAUGACGGCCUUCGGGUUGUAAACCUCUUUCAGCAGGGAAGAAGCGAAAGUGACGGUACCUGCAGAAGAAGCGCCGGCUAACUACGUGCCAGCAGCCGCGGUAAUACGUAGGGCGCAAGCGUUGUCCGGAAUUAUUGGGCGUAAAGAGCUCGUAGGCGGCUUGUCGCGUCGGUUGUGAAAGCCCGGGGCUUAACCCCGGGUCUGCAGUCGAUACGGGCAGGCUAGAGUUCGGUAGGGGAGAUCGGAAUUCCUGGUGUAGCGGUGAAAUGCGCAGAUAUCAGGAGGAACACCGGUGGCGAAGGCGGAUCUCUGGGCCGAUACUGACGCUGAGGAGCGAAAGCGUGGGGAGCGAACAGGAUUAAUACCCCUGGUAAUCCACGCCGUAAACGGUGGGCACUAGGUGUGGGCAACAUUCCACGUUGUCCGUGCCGCAGCUAACGCAUUAAGUGCCCCGCCUGGGGAGUACGGCCGCAAGGCUAAACUCAAAGGAAUUGACGGGGGCCCGCACAAGCGGCGGAGCAUGUGGCUUAAUUCGACGCAACGCGAAGAACCUUACCAAGGCUUGACAUACACCGGAAACAUCAGAGAUGUGCCCCCUU
This 748-nucleotide ribosomal RNA is filed under the name Streptomyces sp. 2SS4_02. RNAcentral's name for it is "bacterial SSU rRNA". It matches the Rfam family "Bacterial small subunit ribosomal RNA", at positions 258 to 1020 of the family's 1533-position model. The record is from RNAcentral. Lineage: Bacteria; Bacillati; Actinomycetota; Actinomycetes; Kitasatosporales; Streptomycetaceae.